Paramuricea clavata is the source of this 205-nucleotide non-coding RNA. NCBI's taxonomy places the organism in Eukaryota, Metazoa, Cnidaria, Anthozoa, Malacalcyonacea, Plexauridae. The record is from the annotation of a GenBank genome assembly.
CGACAGUAUUGCCGAACUAAUUAUAAAGAGCCGUAAGCAUACGAGGGGGGUGGGGACAGCUGCUCUACUCCCUAUGGUAAAAAUGAAGUUGGGGAAAUUAUAAACGUAAGUUGGGCAAAAAGAUGGGGGAAAUAAAUUUAAAAACAAGAAAUAUGUAAGAUAAUAGUCGAAAAUGUAAGAAAAAUUGAAGUGGUCGAAAAUGGAG